Tripterygium wilfordii is the source of this 2159-nucleotide long non-coding RNA. RefSeq lists it as uncharacterized. The record is from RefSeq and is a predicted model, not a curated record. Lineage: Eukaryota; Viridiplantae; Streptophyta; Magnoliopsida; Celastrales; Celastraceae. The transcript has 2 exons.
CACAACCUCGAUUUCAGUUUAUUGUGAUGAACCGGGGUAAUUCAGGUUCCUCCUUUACUCAACUGAUGUGUUCGUUUUGAAUUGUGUUAUAUAAUUUCAGUUCCAGUAUUACCUUUAAUUUUCAGUUGUUGUAUUCAUUGAAUUUUUAAUGCUAAUUGAGAAAAAAAGGCAGUGCACUGGCUUUAGGAGGACUCUGGCAUUAAUUGAAUUUGUUGGACUAAGGAACUUUCUUAUGUUUGUGAAAUCGGAUGAUUUGGCGGAAAAUAUGCUGGAAGAUUUUGAGGAUGAUAUCCAGGUUCCAUAUCUUUUAUACCGUAAUGUAUCUCAAGAAGUUAAUGGCAUUUGGUUCUACAAUGCACAAGAAUGUGAAGAGGUUGCAAAUCAUUUCAGCAGGUACCACUUUCUCAUUAUGCUAAACAACAAAUAAAUGUCUGUGACCAAUAUCCUUGAAGUUUAGAGAAUGAACCAUAUACUGGUAAAUUUUAUAAAUACAUAUAAUUUUGGUAAAGGUAACUAUGGGGGAUUAUCCCUUUAAAUAAGGAGUUUAAUGUUCUAUUUUUUGCGUGUUUGGUGGUUUUUUUUUUUUUUGCUUAUCACCUUAUGCGAAGAACAUAGGCAGACCAAGAGAUUGCAAGAAAAAAAAAUUCACAAAAAUCGCGAAGUGACAUUCAGGUCCAAGAAAUUUAGACUCCAUGUGUUCAUCAUCGACGAAACCAAAGUUGUUACCACCUGUUCUGUAUAUGAAUUAAUCUGCCAAGUCCACCGAUGUGGAGGAUCGCCAGAGACUGAAGUAGGAGAGGAGGCCUUGGUGUCUCCACGCUCCAUAGGUGGAGUCGGCAAUCAUAUCAGCAUUCAGUUAGUUGGUAACACUAUUAGAUUAUUAGAUUUGAAAUUUAGAAAUGAAUUGUUACUUGAAUUUGGUGUAGAUUUUUACUGGAAGAAUGAGCACCGCCUGAUGUGCACCUCGGAGGUCUGUACUGAUAUGAGAAAACUUAAAGUAUUUAGACAGCGAUUGGGGAUUCAAUCGUCUGGUAAAAUUAUUUAAAAAAAAACUGGAUUCACUUCAUUUGACCUUAUGUUUUGUUCGGAUCUUCAAACACCGUCUUUUCUAAUUGUUUUGUAUAUGUUUUAUAAGCAAUGAGUUCCUAACUUGACUAGAUUAUGUCCCAGGAAUAAGUUUUAUGCCGUUGAGCCUUCCGAGGUAUCGAAAUUUUGUUAAUUUCAUAUUGUCUUUUACAAUGCAGGCUUGCUCUUGAUUUAGCCAAUCAUCUAGAAAGUUUCAAGAAUUAGGGUCAAGCUUUAAAUCCUCAAUAUAUUAGCUUCAAUUUAAGGAGAUUGAGGGCUCUGAGGAAAUUAUUUGAAGCUGAGGUUGUCCUACUUGCAAUGGGCUUCCUUGGCCCCAAGUCGGUUAGUUCCCAGAGUUUCCUUGUUUGUAAUUUCAACAAAGAUGUUGAAUUCUUGAAGUUAUCCUGAAUAACACAAACAUUUAUUAGCUCUUGAUUAAUGUGAAAGUGAUGGCCUGAUAGGUUACUAAAUUUGUCAAUUGAAUUCAAAUUUUCGCUAUGUUUCUGUAAUUUAACUUUUGAAUCUGGUCAAUUUUCUUUUAGAAAUAUGGUUAGCUAUCUAUUGUUUCAAGACAUGAAAUGAAGACCUUUGGUGAUGAUUAUCUGACUUCUUGCUGUGUUUUUGGUGAAUUAGCUCCUAUUGCUGAAUUCUGCUGCAAAACACCUUGCUGGAGGAUUUUGUCUUACCUUUUGAAUUUAGCCUUUCCAUCAAUGGAGCAUCAAUAUUAUGACAGUAUUUUAACUAUUUCUUCCUACUUUUGCUCACUUGAUUAGAGUGACACUGGAUAAAGGAGAAGAGAUAUCGUAUUGAACAAAAGCUUCCCAGAAGAAUGUUGCAGCUUCAAAAUGGGGUUGAUAUUAAUCGAUCUGAAAGGGCAAUUAGCAAAGACGAGGGCAGCAAUACAGAUGAAGACUGUGAAACUUGAGGGGGUUUAGACUUGAGAGAACAUCAACGCUCCUUACUUCUCCACAUAUAAUUGGGGUUUUGCAAAUUAUUAAUCUUAGUAAUUUAUGUGAUGUUAAGAUUGCGUCUCCGUUUCUAUAGCAUGGGAUUCUAUAGAAUAAUGUGUUAAUAUGAAGAAGUUGCAGCUGACA